CCUACGGGAGGCAGCAGUAGGGAAUUUUCGGCAAUGGGGGGAACCCUGACCGAGCAACGUCGCGUGAAGGAAGAAGGAAUUAGUUCUGUAAACUUCUGUUAUAAAGGAAGAAAGACGGAUGGAGGAAAUGACAUCCGAGUGACGGUACUUAAUGAGAAAGCCACGGCUAACUACGUGCCAGCAGCCGCGGUAAUACGUAGGUGGCAAGCGUUAUCCGGAAUUAGUGGGCGGAAAGAGGGAGCAGGCGGCAGCAAAGGUCUGUGGUGAAAGAGUGAAGCUUAACUUCAGUAAGCCAUAGAAACCGGGCAGCUAGAGUGCAGGAGAGGUACGUGGAAUGCGAGGUGUAGCGGUGAAAUGCGUAGAUAUAAGGAGGAACACCAGUGGCGAAGGCGGCGAUCUGGCCUGCAACUGACGCUCAGGCCCGAAAGCGUGGGUAGCGAACAGGAUUAGAUACCCGAGUAGUC
Molecule: ribosomal RNA, 464 nt
Filed under: uncultured bacterium
Lineage: Bacteria
Description: partial 16S ribosomal RNA
Rfam family: Bacterial small subunit ribosomal RNA
Source: RNAcentral